Molecule: ribosomal RNA, 520 nt
Filed under: uncultured Scutellospora
Lineage: Eukaryota; Fungi; Glomeromycota; Glomeromycetes; Diversisporales; Gigasporaceae
Description: SSU rRNA
Rfam family: Eukaryotic small subunit ribosomal RNA
Source: RNAcentral
AGCAGCCGCGGUAAUUCCAGCUCCAAUAGCGUAUAUUAAAGUUGUUGCAGUUAAAAAGCUCGUAGUUGAAUUUCGGGGUUCUACCGUUGGUCGGGCUAACCAGUCUGUACUAGCGUGUAGAAUUCCUACCUUCUGGGGAACCAUCAUGUUAUUAAUUUAGCGUGGUGGGAAACCAGGACCUUUACCUUGAAAAAAUUAGAGUGUUCAAAGCAGGCUUACGUCUGAAUACAUUAGCAUGGAAUAAUAAAAUAGGACGGUGGUCCUGUUUUGUUGGUUUCUGAAUCACCGUAAUGAUUAAUAGGGAUAGUUGGGGGCAUUAGUAUUCAAUUGUCAGAGGUGAAAUUCUUGGAUUUAUUGAAGACUAACUUCUGCGAAAGCAUUUGCCAAGGAUGUUUUCAUUAAUCAAGAACGAAAGUUAGGGGAUCGAAGACGAUCAGAUACCGUCGUAGUCUUAACCAUAAACUAUGCCGACUAGGGAUCGGACGAUGUUAAAUUUUAUUGACCCGUUCGGCGCCUUACG